UACAGAGGUCUCAAGCGUUGUUCGGAUUCAUUGGGCGUAAAGGGUGCGUAGGCGGCGCGGUAAGUCGAAUGUGAAAGCCCCCGGCUCAACUGGGGAGGGUCAUUCGAUACUGCUCGACUUGAAGGCAGGAGAGGGCAGCAGAAUUCCCGGUGUAGUGGUGAAAUGCGUAGAUAUCGGGAGGAAUACCAGUGGCGAAGGCGGCUGCCUGGCCUGUUCUUGACGCUGAGGCGCGAAAGCUGGGGGAGCAAACGGG
Molecule: ribosomal RNA, 253 nt
Filed under: uncultured bacterium
Lineage: Bacteria
Description: partial 16S ribosomal RNA
Rfam family: Bacterial small subunit ribosomal RNA
Source: RNAcentral